Molecule: ribosomal RNA, 262 nt
Filed under: uncultured bacterium
Lineage: Bacteria
Description: partial 16S ribosomal RNA
Rfam family: Bacterial small subunit ribosomal RNA
Source: RNAcentral
GUCCACGCCCUAAACGAUGUCAACUGGUUGUUGGGAAUUCACUUUCUCAGUAACGAAGCUAACGCGUGAAGUUGACCGCCUGGGGAGUACGGCCGCAAGGUUGAAACUCAAAGGAAUUGACGGGACCCGCACAAGCGGUGGAUGAUGUGGUUUAAUUCGAUGCAACGCGAAAACCUUACCCACCUUUGACAUGUACGGAAUUCGCCAGAGAUGGCUUAGUGCUCGAAAGAGAACCGUAACACAGGUGCUGCAUGGCUGUCGU